AACCCCUCAACAGCAACAUUUUACCCCAUCAGAUCUCUGCAUGGCCCUGACCAGGAGGGGAUUAAAGAAGAGUGGGGUGAGAGCCAGACUCAAGAGGCAGACACACAAACAACGAGCGCUGCCGUCCAUUAUCUUUGCUAAUGUGCUAAUGUGACAAGCUGCAAGCCUGCAUCAACCACUUCCAUGAGUACAGAACUGCCUCCGUUCUGGCAUUUACGGAAUCGUGGUUAAACAACAACGACGACAACAGCACGCUACACAUUGCUGGCUUUUCACCACCCCUUCAUCUGGACAUCUUGGCCCUGACAACAUCAGCAGUGGAGUCCUGAGGCACUGUGCAGGGGGUUUCCUCUCUAUCAGCAGUGCUUCCAUCUGUGCAGCCCGUCCAGUUUUCCCACCAGAGGAGACAUUUCAGGGUUGGUUAAUCAUUUUUGAUCUAUUCACACUGCAACACAGCAUCUACUAUUUUGGGGCUCAGCUCAUGGGGUUCCCAGGCAAACGCCAGCCCCAACGUCACAGACCAGGAGCGGUUCUGGGAUAGCUCUUCCACGCUGUUAUUUCACUUCAGCUGAAUGCGAUGAACAGAUUGUAGGAAAUUAUGACUAGUAAUUCACUUUAACAUUAAAUGUUGAUACAACACAAACUCUCGUCAGAGAGAUACAUGUUUUAAAGGUGAGCAGCCAAAUAAUUAUUAAAACAUUAUAAAAACAACACAAAAACAGCUUGUUAGAGUUAGCAGGUAGAUUAGCAUUUGAGAUUUCCAUUGAGAACAGCGAGGUUCAAUUUUCAGUCCUCUUUUAUUCUCAUGAUACAUGUUGUCCAAUUGCAUCUCACCCUGCAGGAUUUUUACAGAAAUAUUUAAUAAAAUCUUCUAAUUUUCAUCAUGUUUUUCUGUAAUGGUGUCUGGGUGGUUGACCCAGUGUUUUAAGUUUGGACAUUUUGUCGGUGUUUAGUUUACCUGUGUCUGUUUCCUGUUUUAUUAUGAUAGUCUUUUGUCCUGUGCUCGUUAUGUUGAGUUUACUUCUUGUUUCAUUAGUUAGAUUUGUUCCAGCCGUGUUUUCACCUGUUUCUCAUCGUCUCAUUAUUUGUUUGUCUCUGCUGAUGGUCACGUCAUCGUCAAUGCCUCGUGCAUGCACCCUGUAGAUGUUAUUAGUUUCAUCAUUAUGAAGGAAUUUCCUCAGUCUCAACUCUUCAGUCAGUUUCAGCACUGUUCUCUGAAGGUCCCACCACAGCUUCUCAGUCAGGCUGAGGUCUGGACUGACUGGAGCAUUGCACCACUUUGAUUCUUUUCUUUUUCAGCCAUUCUUUUAGAGAUUUGGCACUGUUCUUGGUAUCACUGUCAUGUGUAUGACUGAGUUUGGCCUGAGCUUUAGCUGUGGGGCUGAUGGCCUCACAUCUGACUCUAGAAUACAUUUGUAUACAGAGGAAUUCAUGGUUUACUGAGUCACUGCACGGAGCCCAGAUCAUCAUCCCUCCACCACGGUGCUGACAGCUGGUGUGAUGUGUUUCGUUUUCUCCUUUAUGGACAAACAUGCCCACUUUGGUUUUUUCUGUCCAAAGGAACCUGAGCCCUGCUGCAAUGUUCAUUUAAAGAGAAGAGGCUUCCUCCUGGUAACCCUUCCAAACAAGUCACACUUCUCAGUCUCUUUCUAUUUGUACUCUCAUGAACUUUAACAUUUAACAUGAGGCCUGUAGAGUCUGAGAAUGAGAAUUCUUGGGUUUUUGCAGCUUUUCUGAGCGUUUGGAUGGUCUUAGGUUGAAUUUGCUGGAACAUCCACUCCUGAGAUGAUUGUAGCAUUGUGUUAACACACAACUGAAUGCUGCAGACCAGCAAACUGCAAAAACGUCUGCAUUUGCAAAGGUUCUCACACCUGCUGUUGGAUACACCCAUCAAAUACAACUGAUUUUAAUUCCUAUGGAAACAUUAAGGACAAACUCCGUUUCAGUGGUUCACAUAAUGAAUUAAAAACAGUAACUGGUAGCAGAGGCGGGAUUGUUGGAGUUUGACACAUCAAAAGUGAAUAAACAGAUUUUUAUACCUGCGUCUGUUCUGCUGUGUCAGACUACGACCCACAAAGUGGAGACCUACGUCUUUCAUAUGUUCCGGCACUACGGCUUCAGCUGGAUGAGAAAGAGCGUCGACUACUUCCUGCUGCAGUCCAACUCAAAGUACAUCACCUGGUGGUCGAUGGCCCUCAGCCUCCUCAUCGUCACCUCUGGGUACCUGCGGCUACUCUUCCUCAAAAGCCUCUUUGUCAGCAAUACCGGCACAGAGGGCGAGAAGCCUCGGUGCUGAUAGACUCAAACGAAAACCAAAAGAAAAAGAAUUUAAAAAAUAAAAAUGUCUGGAUUUGUGUGGAGGAACGGCAGACACGAACGAAUUCAAAGCAGUGAUGGUUCUUUCUCCUUGAAUGAAUAAAUAUUAGAAACAA
Molecule: long non-coding RNA, 2432 nt
Organism: Oreochromis niloticus (Nile tilapia)
Lineage: Eukaryota; Metazoa; Chordata; Actinopteri; Cichliformes; Cichlidae
Exons: 3
Source: RefSeq, a predicted model, not a curated record